GCCUGGGUGGCUCGGUGGGUUAAGCGGCCGGCUUCGGCUCAGGUCAUGAUCCGGCAGUCCGUGAGUUCGAGCCCCACAUCAGGCU
This 85-nucleotide transfer RNA is filed under the name Felis catus (domestic cat). It matches the Rfam family "tRNA". From Rfam's summary of the family: Transfer RNA (tRNA) molecules are approximately 80 nucleotides in length. Their secondary structure includes four short double-helical elements and three loops (D, anti-codon, and T loops). The record is from Rfam by way of RNAcentral. Lineage: Eukaryota; Metazoa; Chordata; Mammalia; Carnivora; Felidae.